AUAAGCAUUACACGGCGAAACUGCGAAUGGCUCAUUAUAUAAGUUAUCGUUUAUUUGAUAGCACAUUACUACUUCGAUAACCGUGGUAAUUCUAGAGCUAAUACACGCUAAAAAUCCCGACUUCGGAAGGGAUGUAUUUAUUAGAUUAAAAACCAAUGCCCUCUGGGCUCUCUGGUGAAUCAUGAUAACUGCUCGAAUCGCAGGGCCUCGUGCCGGCGAUGGUUCAUUCAAAUUUCUUCCCUAUCAACUUUCGAUGUUUGGGUAUUGGCCAAACAUGGUUACAACGGGUAACGGAGGGUUAGGGCUCGACCCCGGAGAAGGAGCCUGAGAGACGGCUACUACAUCCAAGGAAGGCAGCAGGCGCGCAAAUUACCCAAUCCCGACACGGGGAGGUAGUGACAAUAAAUACUGAUACAGGGCUCUUUCGGGUCUUGUAAUUGGAAUGAGUACAAUUUAAAUCCCUUAACGAGGAACAAUUGGAGGGCAAGUCUGUGC
RNAcentral lists this ribosomal RNA (495 nucleotides) under Pleurocordyceps nipponica. RNAcentral describes it as "SSU rRNA". It matches the Rfam family "Eukaryotic small subunit ribosomal RNA", at positions 65 to 567 of the family's 1831-position model. Lineage: Eukaryota; Fungi; Ascomycota; Sordariomycetes; Hypocreales; Polycephalomycetaceae. The record is from RNAcentral.